AAAGAUGCGCUAAUACCGCAUAAUCUCUAAGGAGAAAAGCAGGGGAUCGCAAGACCUUGCGCUUUUGGAGCGGCCGAUGUCUGAUUAGCUAGUUGGUGAGGUAAAGGCUUACCAAGGCUUCGAUCAGUAGCUGGUCUGAGAGGACGACCAGCCACACUGGGACUGAGACACGGCCCAGACUCCUACGGGAGGCAGCAGUGGGGAAUUUUGGACAAUGGGGGCAACCCUGAUCCAGCCAUGCCGCGUGAGUGAAGAAGGCCUUCGGGUUGUAAAGCUCUUUCAGCCGGAACGAAAAGGUUACGGUUAAUACCCGUGACUAAUGACGGUACCGGAAGAAGAAGCACCGGCUAACUACGUGCCAGCAGCCGCGGUAAUACGUAGGGUGCGAGCGUUAAUCGGAAUUACUGGGCGUAAAGCGUGCGCAGGCGGUUUUGUAAGUCAGAUGUGAAAUCCCCGGGCUUAACCUGGGAACUGCGUUUGAGACUACAAGGCUAGAGUGUGGCAGAGGGGGGUGGAAUUCCACGUGUAGCAGUGAAAUGCGUAGAGAUGUGGAGGAACACCGAUGGCGAAGGCAGCCCCCUGGGUUAACACUGACGCUCAGGCACGAAAGCGUGGGGAGCAAACAGGAUUAGAUACCCUGGUAGUCCACGCCCUAAACGAUGUCAACUAGUUGUCGGGUCUUAACGGGCUUGGUAACGCAGCUAACGCGUGAAGUUGACCGCCUGGGGAGUACGGUCGCAAGAUUAAAACUCAAAGGAAUUGACGGGGACCCGCACAAGCGGUGGAUUAUGUGGAUUAAUUCGAUGCAACGCGAAAAACCUUACCUACCCUUGACAUGUACCGAAGCCCGCCGAGAGGUGGGCGUGCC
This 868-nucleotide ribosomal RNA is filed under the name uncultured Pseudomonadota bacterium. Its description in RNAcentral is "bacterial SSU rRNA". It matches the Rfam family "Bacterial small subunit ribosomal RNA", at positions 154 to 1018 of the family's 1533-position model. The record is from RNAcentral. Lineage: Bacteria; Pseudomonadati; Pseudomonadota.